This 468-nucleotide ribosomal RNA is filed under the name uncultured bacterium. RNAcentral describes it as "partial 16S ribosomal RNA". It matches the Rfam family "Bacterial small subunit ribosomal RNA", at positions 28 to 507 of the family's 1533-position model. The record is from RNAcentral.
GACGAACGCUGGCGGCGUGCUUAACACAUGCAAGUCGAACGGAAAGGCCCUGCUUUUGUGGGGUGCUCGAGUGGCGAACGGGUGAGUAACACGUGAGUAACCUGCCCUUGACUUUGGGAUAACUUCAGGAAACUGGGGCUAAUACCGGAUAGGAGCUCCUGCUGCAUGGUGGGGGUUGGAAAGUUUCGGCGGUUGGGGAUGGACUCGCGGCUUAUCAGCUUGUUGGUGGGGUAGUGGCUUACCAAGGCUUUGACGGGUAGCCGGCCUGUGAGGGUGACCGGCCACAUUGGGACUGAGAUACGGCCCAGACUCCUACGGGAGGCAGAAGUGGGGAAUAUUGCACAAUGGGCGGAAGCCUGAUGCAGCAACGCCGCGUGCGGGAUGACGGCCUUCGGGUUGUAAACCGCUUUCGCCUGUGACGAAGCGUGAGUGACGGUAAUGGGUAAAGAAGCACCGGCUAACUACGUG